This 465-nucleotide ribosomal RNA is filed under the name uncultured bacterium. RNAcentral describes it as "partial 16S ribosomal RNA". It matches the Rfam family "Bacterial small subunit ribosomal RNA", at positions 29 to 507 of the family's 1533-position model. The record is from RNAcentral.
AUGCACGCUGGCGGCGUGCUUAACACAUGCAAGUCGAACGGAAAGGCUCCUGCUUGCAGGGGUACUCGAGUGGCGAACGGGUGAGUAACACGUGGGUGAUCUGCCCUGCACUUCGGGAUAAGCCUGGGAAACUGGGUCUAAUACCGGAUAGGACGAUGGUUUGGAUGCCAUUGUGGAAAGUUUUUUCGGUGUGGGAUGAGCUCGCGGCCUAUCAGCUUGUUGGUGGGGUAAUGGCCUACCAAGGCGUCGACGGGUAGCCGGCCUGAGAGGGUGUACGGCCACAUUGGGACUGAGAUACGGCCCAGACUCCUACGGGAGGCAGCAGUGGGGAAUAUUGCACAAUGGGCGCAAGCCUGAUGCAGCGACGCCGCGUGGGGGGUGACGGCCUUCGGGUUGUAAACUCCUUUCGCUAGGGACGAAGCGCAAGUGACGGUACCUGGAGAAGAAGCACCGGCUAACUACGUG